GCUUGCUUUGGCAGCCCUAUCUUAGACUGGACAAAGAAGAUUAGCAUGGCCCCUGCACAAGGAUGACAUGCAAAUUCAUGUAGCAUUCCGUAUUUUU
Molecule: small nuclear RNA, 97 nt
Filed under: Vombatus ursinus (common wombat)
Lineage: Eukaryota; Metazoa; Chordata; Mammalia; Diprotodontia; Vombatidae
Source: RNAcentral